Molecule: non-coding RNA, 3122 nt
Organism: Rattus norvegicus (Norway rat)
Lineage: Eukaryota; Metazoa; Chordata; Mammalia; Rodentia; Muridae
Source: RefSeq, a predicted model, not a curated record
UCCUCCCAACACUAGUGCUGGCCAGCCCCGCGCUUUAGGAGGUCCUCAAACGGACAGGAGCCCUAGUCGCCUAGGAGACGCGGAGCACACCUGGGUAGCCCAGAGCCAGGUCGCCCGUGUGGUGACAGUGACACUAGGCCUCUUGUAAGGGUCCCACUGGUGUCCCUCGGCACCCCGAGUCUCUUCUGCCAGGCCUGACUCGCUUCAAGUACACGCGCCCACAGACUUUCCCAAGUACCAAGUGGACAUAGGAGCCGUGCGUAGGGGACGUUGCCGGGGUACUCUAGUACAGACCGGUAGACAUGGGACCCCAGAGUACUUGGGGGAAGGGCCCCAGGCUGCGCCGGGCUCAGGGAGUGGCCCCGGGACAGGAUCAGGAAGGAGGUGGGGCCCGGGGUGGGACCCAGAGCAGCAGAGUGGGGGAAGGGCAUGGGCCCGGGGAGUAUCUCCGCUACCCCUCGGUUCCUGGCAAGGCCGCCUAGGGGGCAUUCCUAGCCAGCGUGGCGUCAAGAUUAACGAACCCUUUUCUCCGCCCGGUGGGGCCCCGCAAUGCGUUGCCAGCCCAGCUCUAAGAGCCGGCUGUGGGGCGCACGCUGCGGGCGGACCGCCCCACGCCCUCUGGCUCCCGGGAGCGCAGCCCGCGGUCGCGCGCCCCAGCCCAGCUCCGCGGUGGCGGCCGGCUCAGAGAGCUUUGUGACGUCAGGCGGCGUCACGCGGGGCUGACCCGGCGGCGGCGGCGGCGGCGGCGGCGGCGGCGGUGGCGGGCGGGGGCGGCCUCCGGAGGCGGCGGGAGCAUGGAGCCGCGGGCCGGCUGCCGGUUGCCGGUGCGGGUGGAACAGGUCGUCAACGGCGCGCUGGUGGUCACCGUGAGCUGUGGCGAGCGCAGCUUCGCCGGGAUCCUGCUGGAUUGCACGAAAAAGUCUGGUCUCUUUGGCCUGUCUCCAUCUACUCUGCUGCCUCUGGCUGACAACUCCUCUGCCAUCAGCUGUCAUGGCCAGGUUCCUGAGGAGGGAACUGGAGAAGUGAUGCAGCUGGAGACAGGACCUCUGCCUCCUCACCACCAAGACCCUGAGAAGGAUCAGCCUCCCAAGACAGCUGUGCCUGAGCCGCCCCCACCUCUCAUACCACCUGUGCCUGCCGGGAACCUGCCUCCCUUUCCACCUUACUUUGAGGGUGCCCCCUUCCCCCACCCACUGUGGCUGAGGAACACCUACCAGCAGUGGGUGCCGCAGCCCCCACCCAGGGCCAUCAAGCGGACCCGUCGGCGACUUUCCCGAAACCGGGAUCCAGGCAGACUCAUUCUUAGCACAAUCCGCCUGCGGCCACGUCAGGUACUAUGUGAGAAAUGCAAGAGUACUGUGAGUCCUCAGGAUGCCAGUCCUGGCCCCCUGAACACCCCCAAACCCCGCCGGAGGCUAGGCAGUGGCCCUGACAGUGAAUACCGAAAGCCAGAGGAACCGGAAGACAGUGCCGUCAUAGCCAUGGCCGCACCAAGGAGAAACAAGAGGGAGAAGCGGGAAGAGGACAGGGUUGCCGGAGAGCGUAUCCCAAGGAGCCCAGUCAUCAAGAUCUCCUACAGCACACCACAGGGUAAGGGUGAGGUGGUCAAGAUCCCAUCCAGAGUGCAUGGCUCCGUGGAGCCCUUCUGCCCCCAACAGUCUCUACAGAAUGGCAGCCAGGACUCAGAGGUAUCGAGGGAUGGGGAGACCAAGGGUGGUGGAGACCGACCAUCCAGCGGGCUUUCAGCCUCCAUCCCCAAGCUGAAGCUGACUCGUCCAGUGCCUCCUGUCUCAGACCUGCCACCUCCCAAAAUCCGCCUGAAGCCCCACCGGCUGGGGAAUGGAGAGCAUGAGCCUCUGUACAGGGCUGAGCUGGUAGAGGAGCUGAAUGGAUGCCCACGAGGCCCCCUGGCCAGCUCCCCUGCUCUCUUUGCUGAUGGCUCUACCCAUGGGCUAGAGGACUUGUCUUCUGGAAGUUCUGGUGAGGACGAUGACCUCAAGAGAUUUCCCCAAGGUAAACAUGGCCGUGAUGGCUUGGCUUUUCUUGUCGACUGCCCUGGGAGGAGAGCAGACUGUACCAGUGAAUCUGUGUGCAGCAGCACCGACAGCCUGGAUGAAUUAAAAUCAUCUGGCUCAGAAGUGACAUCUCCAGACACAGGAGACCUGUCAUCUGGCGACAGUGCCUCUGUUCCUUCGUCUUCUGCUGACACUCGCCAGACAGUCCCUCCCCUCACGGUCAGGCUGCACACGCAGAGCGUCUCACAGUGUGUGACUGAAGACGGAAGGACGGUGGCUGUAGGGGACAUUGUGUGGGACUUCCUAGUGUUUGGGCCUCCUACUGGUCUUGGCUGAUCCUGUGUUCCAAAGCCUCCCACCAUCUAGAAGAUCCUUUACCUUCGUCUGGCACGGUCACCGACAGUGAGGGUGCAGCUGCUGUCCUGGAACUUCUGACUUCUGUCCAAGGGGCCCAUGUGUCUCUGGCUGGCUGUGUGCAGAAACCUGCUGGGCACAGUGGUUGGCCUGACUCCAGAGGAGCCGGUGUGCAUGGGGAGGGACCCAGCUUAGGACACCUGGCUCCUCUCAGCUGAAUGUAUCUGUUCAGGCUUCAGCGUUCCUAGCCCAGAAGUGUCCUGGAGCUUGGUGACAUGUUUGCUGCUUUGUGUGCUAGUGGCUGUGAGGCUUAGGCAUCCUCAGACAGAAACAGGGCCUUCUGCCCAGCCUGUGAAACUCCUGGUCUGGGUGCUGGGCCUCGCUACAGGACAUCCUCCUGGGCCUGGCCCCCGUUAUUCAGCAAGAGCCACCCUUCAGGCUUGAGGAAACCAAAUUGCACGUAUGGGGUUCUCCUCCAGCCCUUGGGUACAGGGUCUCUGUGUACUUGAGCCAGAAACCUAGUUGCUUCUCUUCCACAUUCCACUCAAAGCAUGGGUCCCUGGCUCCCAGCCCUGGCCUGCGGGGCCACCUUGAUCUGAGAUGCUGCUAUGUCACCAGGACUAGGAAGGGGAGAGGGAGGGCAGAAGUGAAAACAGGCCUCAGGUUAGGAGAUACCGGCUCUGCCCUGUGAGGCCACAUUCCUUUCCCCUCUGUCACUUCCAAGACCAAAAAGAAAACAGAAAGAAAAGAAAA